CCUACGGGUGGCAGCAGUGAGGAAUAUUGGUCAAUGGGCGCAAGCCUGAACCAGCCAAGUAGCGUGAAGGAUGACGGCCCUCCGGGUUGUAAACUUCUUUUAUAAAGGAAUAAAGUGAGGCACGUGUGCCUUUUUGUAUGUACUUUAUCAUUAAGGAUCCGCUAACUCCGUGCCUGCAGCCGCGGUAAUACGGAGGAUCCGAGCGUUAUCCGGAUGUAUUGGGUUUUAAGGGAGCGUAGAUGGGUUGGUAAGUCAGGUGUGAAAGUUUGCGGCUCAACCGUCAAAUUGCAAUUGAUACUGGCAGUCUGGAGUACAGUGGAGGUAGGCGGAAUUCGUGGUGUAGCGGUGAAAUGCUUAGAUAUCACGAAGAACUCCGAUUGCGAAGGCAGCUUACUGAACUGCAACUGACGUUGAGGCUCGAAAGUGUGGGUAUCAAACAGGAUUAGAUACCCGUGUAGUC
Molecule: ribosomal RNA, 460 nt
Filed under: uncultured bacterium
Lineage: Bacteria
Description: partial 16S ribosomal RNA
Rfam family: Bacterial small subunit ribosomal RNA
Source: RNAcentral